Molecule: ribosomal RNA, 486 nt
Filed under: Toxicocalamus holopelturus (Mt Rossel forest snake)
Lineage: Eukaryota; Metazoa; Chordata; Lepidosauria; Squamata; Elapidae
Description: partial 16S ribosomal RNA
Rfam family: Bacterial large subunit ribosomal RNA
Source: RNAcentral
UAUUAAAGGCAACGCCUGCCCAGUGAAUAAUUAAACGGCCGCGGUAUCCUAACCGUGCAAAGGUAGCGUAAUCACUUGUCUAUUAAUUGUAGACCUGUAUGAAAGGCAUAAUGAGGGUCUAACUGUCUCUUCUAGUAAAUCAAUUAAACUGAUCUCCUAGUCCAAAAGCUAAGAUAUCAACAUAAGACCAGAAGACCCUGUGAAGCUUUAACUAAACUAUUAAAUCUCCUAAUACCUCCUUUCGGUUGGGGCGACCUUGGAAAAAAAAAGAACUUCCAAAUAUACAAUAUAUAAUAUUCUUCAACUUAGGCCGACAGGCCUACAAAGACCCAGCACAGCUGACAAUUGAACCAAGUUACUCCAGGGAUAACAGCGCUAUCUUCUUCAAGAGCCCAUAUCAAAAAGAAGGUUUACGACCUCGAUGUUGGAUCAGGACAUCCUAAUGGUGCAACCGCUAUUAAGGGUUCGUUUGUUCAACGAUUAACA